RNAcentral lists this ribosomal RNA (459 nucleotides) under uncultured bacterium. RNAcentral's name for it is "partial 16S ribosomal RNA". It matches the Rfam family "Bacterial small subunit ribosomal RNA", at positions 338 to 795 of the family's 1533-position model. The record is from RNAcentral.
CCUACGGGAGGCAGCAGUGAGGAAUAUUGGUCAAUGGGAGAGAUCCUGAACCAGCCAAGCCGCGUGAGGGAAGACGGCCCUAUGGGUUGUAAACCUCUUUUGUCGGAGAACAAAACCCGGGACGUGUCCCGGACUGCGUGUAUCCGAAGAAAAAGCAUCGGCUAACUCCGUGCCAGCAGCCGCGGUAAUACGGAGGAUGCGAGCGUUAUCCGGAUUUAUUGGGUUUAAAGGGUGCGUAGGUGGUCCGUUAAGUCAGCGGGAAAAUUGCGGGGCUCAACCCCGUCGAGCCGUUGAAACUGGCAGACUUGAGUUGGCGAGAAGUACGCGGAAUGCGCGGUGUAGCGGUGAAAUGCAUAGAUAUCGCGCAGAACUCCGAUUGCGAAGGCAGCGUACCGGCGCCAGACUGGCGCUGAGGCACGAAAGCGUGGGGAUCGAACAGGAUUAGAUACCCCAGUAGUC